Molecule: ribosomal RNA, 253 nt
Filed under: uncultured bacterium
Lineage: Bacteria
Description: partial 16S ribosomal RNA
Rfam family: Bacterial small subunit ribosomal RNA
Source: RNAcentral
UACGCAGGGUGCAAGCGUUGUCCGGAAUUAUUGGGCGUAAAGAGCUCGUAGGCGGUUUGUUGCGUCGGCUGUGAAAUCCCGAGGCUCAACCUCGGGUCUGCAGUCGAUACGAGCAAACUAGAGUGUUGCAGGGGAGACUGGAAUUCCUGGUGUAGCGGUGAAAUGCGCAGAUAUCAGGAGGAACACCGGUGGCGAAGGCGGGUCUCUGGGCAACAACUGACGCUGAGGAGCGAAAGCGUGGGGAGCGAACAGG